GUUUGGAUGGAGCUUCAUGGUUGUCUUUUGGAGAAAUGAGCAGUCAAGUUGUGUUUGAAAUUUGAUUUUUUUCAGGGGCAAAAGGAGCCUCUGCAUUCUUGUCAAAUAUGUAAAUAGCAUGUUUUUGCAGGUGCUAAAAAAAGACUCUGAGUGAGUGUGUGUGUGUGUGUGUGUGUGUGUGUGUGUGUGUGUGUGUGUGUGUGUGUGUGUGUGUGUGUGUGUGUGUGUGUGUGUGUGUAUCCUGCAGUACUCUGAGAAGAAUAAGCAUAUUUCUGAGGUGAAUUUUGAAGAUUCAUCUGAGAGUCAGGAGGGCUGAUCAUUCCCUUACCCUUUCGAUGUCUGUCUAUGUCUGUUUUUGUGUAAUAAUGAAAGAAUCCCAACACAAAAAGGCUCUGUUGAUGUUUUUUUUUGUUGUUCAUUCAUAUUCAAACCACUAUUUUAUAUCACUGCUAAUACGCCAAGACCAUUUUAUGGUAUUUAGCUUUAUUAUUUCUAUGCAUUUUGCAAGGACAGAAACCAAGGCCUUCACUAAAAUUUCCAUAAACUUUAGGAAAGGACCUCUGGUUGUUUAAGGGGGUCAUUACUGCAAAAACAUAUUCUUCCUAAAUUUUGAAGGUCAAACCUUAGAUCCAUUAGGUUUAAAUAGAAAAAGCAUUAAAAUAUGUUAGGAUUAUAGCAUAUGACAAAUGUGUGCCUCUCAAUGGCCAUAAGUACUUUGUCUGCUGGCUCUGCAGUCGAUUGACGCUCCCCAGCGUUCAAGUCACAUGACAUAUUUAACCGGAUGUAGCUGCAAGAUGGAGCCUCGUUGACUCUCCGUUUCAACUUAUCUCCAAAGUGAGGACCUUAAACUAUAUACCAGUUUUUAAAUUGUGUUGAUAGGCCAAAUAAAACCAGAGUUAUGAUAAAUUAUGUCUGCGAUACUUUUUUUCUGCUUAUUUUGAUCACGUUCGGCGCUCGAUCGCGCUGUAUGAGACAGGAAAACAUAGCAUGCAGACAUUAGCGACAGGUCUUACAGGCGGAAAAGGCUUGCCAAAAGAAAAAAAAAACACACCACAACAUCUCUCCUAUUGGUGGAAAACUUCACCACAACAACCAAUCCAAAAUUAUAUGGUGACUGAUUGACAAGGGGCGGGCGCUUACGGUCUUCCUGCAACAUGAGAAGGGAGGGAGGGACUCUCAGCAGGGAUGCAGUCUGGGACACGUAGUUGCAAACCUAGCGACUUUGUUGUUAGAUUCAAUGACUUUUCAGACCACCUAACGCCUUUUUUUUUUUAGAAAGAAAGGGACUUUUAUCGACUUCUUCUGGAGUUUAGAGACUCAGGCAUGAAGCAGGCUUUCCUUACUGAGGAGUUAGCAACGCUGCUAAUGGUGCAGAGCCACACAUGUGCUCCGAGCUCUGCAUGAAGCUGACAGAUCUGCAGCAGUUAGCAGGUUUCACCCUCAGAGACCACCAGGGGUUCAUGUUGAGGCAUUUUCAGUUUUGUUUUUUUUUUGCCAUAGACACUGUCAGCACAAUCUGCAGUUACACUAACAAAAAUGCUGCAAAAAACAAAGAAUUAUGGAAAAAUUACACAUGGACUAACAUAGAGGAGGAUCUACACAAGUUUUUUACAUCAUGUUUUACAUCAUGCAUCAUUUACAUCAUGAUUUUUUGUAGUGGCUUAAAUAUAAGUGACAUUUGUGAGACUAUACAGUGUUUUGUAAAUAAUUUUACAAAGAACGCCUGGGCCAUUGCCUGCAUUUUGAUGUAAAUAGAGGUAAAUUACUAUGUUCUUUGUUAAAAAUUUGCAUAUGUUUUGAAGUUUACAAUUUUUAUUUGAAGUUUAAGUUUUAAAAACAGUUCAUCACACAUAUUUGUGGUUUUCACAGUUAAAAUGUUACUUUUUUCCACUCGGAAUUUAUGUUUUGUGUGUGAAUUUGGGUCCAUUGUGUAAAUACAGUAUGUCAAAAUGAUAAAAUAACUGUAAAUUCACACAGGUGAGGUUGUGCUGAAAAAAAUGAUACCAGGCAAGGCAAGGUAAAAAAAAUUUAAGAGGAAAUAUAAAGGUAAAAUCAAAAGUAGUCAAAAACGGCCAAUAGUGACUCCCAGACUCAAUAGACAAGUCCCUUUGGCGCCACUCAGUGGGCAAAACUACUUUGUCUGCUGUAAUGUAUAUUUGGGUCAUCUUUGGCGCCCCCUAGAACGUAAACCGUGGGGUGCAGCGUCAUGAUUUUUACAACUUUGAAUGGCCAUGGGUUGUAGAUUGGCCUGAGCAAAUUUGGUGUCAGUGGGACGAAAGCUGUAGGACGAGUUAGCCACAUUCCAAUGUGUGCGAAUCAGCAAAAAAUGCAAAAUAGCCCUUUAACCGUACAUUUUACAGAUACGUGCGCAUUGACUUUUUCGUAGAUCUUAUUGAGAUACAUGUGUGUGUCAAUUUUUGUGUCAAUAUGGCAAAGCGUACAGGCGUGACAGUCAACAAUGUGUAUUUUCACCUUAGGGGGCGCUAUGGAGCCAUUUUGCAUUUUAUUCUUUGGGCGACUUCAGAAUAUCGAAUUUUUCACCAGGCCCGGUCGUCCUGCCAAAUUUCAUGAGUUUUCGCCAGUGGGAAGUGGGCCAUUUUCCAGUUUAAAGCGGAGGAAAAAUAAUAAUAAUAACUAGGGCCCCGUUGGGGCACUGGCGGGCCCGAGCCGUGUCGCGCUGCCCCCCCCAACGCGCUGCCUCCCCGUCCCAUUCGCGUCCUCUGGCCAUCGCCCUCUCUGGUAACGCCCCUCACUGCAAAGACCCUUUCCUUCAUCGGCGUUUGCUGUUCUUCCUGCCAGUGCGUGUUGCUUUCACUUACACUUGCCACAGCCAGCCUCGUGAGUGCCUAGCCUAUUGGAUAUCAAUGUCAUCUACACAGGACAGUCAUAACCUUUCUAUUAAUACUUUGUUUUUUAAUUUCACAUUUAUUUCCAUAUUGUAUAAAUGACUGGAAAAAACUUGAGCCCCUGCCCCUGUAUAAUCAUGUGCACGUCCCUGUUCUAGCUCCAAGGUGAAUCUUGACUGCUCAUGUUCUCCUCAGAAGCAGUCACCUCACUCCCCUCAGGUUACUGUACACAUGCACCAACUACCUGCGUCAGGUUUGGAUGGAGCUUCAUGGUUGUCUUUUGGAGAAAUGAGCAGUCAAGUUGUGUUUGAAAUUUCAUUUUUUUCAGGGGCAAAAGGAAGUCUCUGCAUUGUUGUCAAAUAUGUAAAUAGCAUGUUUUUGCAGGUGCUGAAAAACAGACUCUGAGUGUGUAUGUGUGUGUGUGUGUGUGUGUGUGUGUGUGUGUGUGUGUGUGUGUGUGUGUGCGUGUGUGUGUGUGUGUCUGUGUGUGUGUGUGUCUGUGUGUGUGUAUCCUGCAGUACUCUGUACUCCUGCAGUGGCCAAAACGACUUUUAAGAAUGUGGAUAUUUGGGUCAUCUUUGGCGCCCCCUAGAACGUAAACCAUGGGGUGCAGCGGCAUGAUUUUUACAACUUUGAAUGGCCAUGGGGUGUAGAUUGGCCUGAGCAAAUUUGGUGUCAGUGGGACGAAAGCCUUAGGAGGAGUUAGCCACAUUCCAAUGUGUGCGAAUCGGCAAAAAAUGCGAAAUAGCCCUUUAACCGUACAUUUUACAGAUAUGCGCGCAUUGACUUUUUCGUAGAUCUUAUUGAGAUACACGUGUGUGUCAAAUUUUUUGUCAAUAUGACAAAGCGUACAGGCGUGAAUCUCAACAAUGUGUAUUUUCACCUUAGGGGACAAGAAAAAAUUGACUUUUUUGUCCUGCCAUGGGGGGGCGCUCUUUUGGGGAGUAAAAAUUCCUUCACAAAUGUGUUGAUGGCUGGACAUUGCAUCAUCCUAGAAAACUUGGAGGCCAGUGAGGACAAAAAUAAAAAGUUAUAAAACUUUUAAGAAUGUGGAUUUUUGGGUUAUUUUUGGCGCCCCCUAGAACCUAAACCAUGGGGUGCAGCAUCAUGAUUUGUACAACUUUGAAUGGCCAUGGAGUGUAGAUUGGCCUGAGCAAAUGUGGUGCCGGUGGAACGAAAGCCUUCGGAGGAGUUAGCGAAAUUCCAAUGUGUGCGGAUCGGCAAAAAAUGCGAAAUAACCCUUUAACCGUACAUUUGACAGAUAUGCCCGCACUGACUUUUUUGUAGAUCUUAUUGAGAUACAUGUGUGUGUCAAUUUUUGUGUCAAUAUGACAAAGCGUACAGGCGUGACAGUCAAUAGUGUGAAUUUUCACCUUAGGGGGCGCUAUGGAGCCAUUUUGCAUUUUAUUGUUUGGGUGACUUCAGAAUAUCGAAUUUUUCACCAGGCCCGGUCGUCCUGCCAAAUUUCAUGAGUUUUCGCCAGUGGGAAGUGGGCCAUUUUCCAGUUUAAAGCGGAGGAAAAAUAAUAACUAGGGCCCCGUUGGGGCACUGGCGGGCCCGAGCCUGUCGCGCCGCUCCCAGCGCGACCACCUACCCCUCCCGAUAGCGUCACACUAAAGGUCCAAAGAUGGUGUGCGCACUUGUCUGUGGUCAUUUACCAUUAUAAUAAUGGGAGGCGCAGUUUCUACCAAAACGCUCGCUGCAGACAAACUCCAUGUCCUUUUUGAAAAUAGUCUGGACCAUGAGUGAGGGCACAAACACAGCUAGUAUAUACCCAAAUGGCAAGGUGCUCCUCCUUUCGGUUUUGCCGAGAGAGCGAUGAAUUUGAGCCAUUGAGCGAUCGGCAGGAAAAACUUGACUUUUUCUCCUGCCAUGGGGGGGCGCUCUUUUGGGGAAAAAAAAUUCCUUCACAAAUGUGUUGAUGACUGAACAUUGCAUCAUCCUAGAAAACUUGGAGGCCAGUGAGGACAAAAAUAAAGUUAUAAGACUUUUAAAAAUGUGGAUAUUUGGGUCAUCUUUGGCGCCCCCUAGAACGUAAACCGUGGGAUGCAGCGUCAUGAUUUGUACAACUUUGAAUGGCCAUGGGGUGUAGAUUGGCCUGAGCAAAUUUGGUGUCAGUGGAACGAAAGCCUUAGGAGGAGUUAGCCACAUUCCAAUGUGUGCGAAUCGGCAAAAAAUGCGAAAUAGCCCUUUAACUGUACAUUUUACAGAUACGCGCACAUUGACUUUUUCGUAGAUCUUAUUGAGAUACACGUGAUUGUCAAAUUUUGUGUCAAUAUGACAAAGCGUACAGGCGUGACACUCAACAAUGUGUAUAUUCGCCUUAGGGGACAAGAAAAAAUGGACUUUUUUCUCCUGCCAUGGGGGGGCGCUCUUUUGGCGAGUAAAAAUUCCUUCACAAAUGUGUUAAUUGCUGGACAUUGCAUCAUCCUAGAGAACUUGGAGGCCAGUGAGGACAAAAAUAAAAAGUUAUAAGACUUUUAAGACUGUGGAUUUUUGGGUUAUCUUUGGCGCCCCCUAGAACGUAAACCGUGGGGUGCAGCGUCAUGAUUUGUACAACUUUUAAUGGCCAUGGGGUGUAGAUUGGCCUGAGCAAAUGUGGUGCCAGUGGAACGAAAGCCUUCGGAGGAGUUAGCGAAAUUCCAAUGUGUGCGGAUCGGCAAAAAAUGCGAAAUAACCCUUUAACCGUACAUUUGACAGAUACGCCCGCGCUGACUUUUUUGUAGAUCUUAUUGAGAUACAUGUGUGUGUCAAUUUUUGUGUCAAUAUGACAAAGCGUACAGGCGUCAGGUGAGUUUUCACCAUAGGGGGCGCUAUGGAGCCAUUUUUCAUUUUUUUGUUUGGGCGACUUCAGAAUAUCGAAUUUUUCACCAGGCCCGGUCGUCCUGCCAAAUUUCCUGAGUUUUCGCCAGUGGGAAGUGGGCCAUUUUCCAGUUUAAAGCGGAGGAAAAAUAACGAAAGAAGAAUCCAUCAGGAACAAGAGGGCUCUCGCAGCUGCUUAGCAGCUACGCUCGGGCCCUAACUAGGGCCCCGUUGGGGCACUGGCGGGCCCGAGCUGUGUCGCGCCGCCCCCAACACGACCGCCUCUCCCUCCCGAUCGCGUCACACUCAAGGUCCAAAGAUGGUGUGCACACUUGUCUGUGGUCAUUUACCAUUAUAAUGAAUGGGAGGCGCAGUUUCUACCAAAACGCUCGCUGCAGACAAACUGUCCUAUUUGAAAAAAGUCUGGACCAUGAGUGAGGGCACAAACACAGCUAGGAUAUAUCCAAAUGGCAAGUUUCUCCUCCUUUCGGUUUUGCCGAGAGAGCGAUGUGUUUGAGCCGUUGAGCGAUGGGUAGGAAAAACUUGACUUUUUCUCCUGCCAUGGGGGGGCACUCUUUUAGGGAGUAAAAAUUCCUUCACAAAUGUGUUGAUGGCUGGACAUUGCAUCAUCCUAGAAAACUUGGAGGCCAGUGAGGACAAAAAUAAAAAGUUAUAAGACUUUUAAAUAUGUGGAUUUUAGGGUUAUCUUUGGCGCCCCCUAGAACCUAAACCGUGGGGUGCAGCGUCAUGAUUUGAAUAACUUUUAAUGGCCAUGGGGUGUAGAUUGGCCUGAGCAAAUGUGGUGCCGGUGGAACAAAAGCCUUCGGAGGAGUUAGCGAAAUUCCAAUGUGUACGGAUCGCCAAAAAAUGCGAAAUAGCCCUUUAACCGUACAUUUGACAGAUACGCCCGCAUUGACUUUUUCGUAGAUAUUAUUGAGAUACACCUGUGUGCCAAAUUUUGUGUCAUUUUGACAAAGUGUAGAGGCGUGACACUCAACAAUGUGUAUUUUCACCUUAGGGGACAAGAAAAAAUGGACUUUUUUCUCCUGCCAUGGGGGGGCGCUCUUUUGGGGAGUAAAAAUUCCUUCACAAAUGUGUUGAUGGCUGGACAUUGCAUCAUCCUAGAAAACUUGGAGGCCAGUGAGGACAAAAAUAAAAAGUUAUAAGACUUUUAAAUAUGUGGAUUUUCGGGUUAUCUUUGGCGCCCCCUAGAACCUAAACCGUGGGGUGCAGCGUCAUGAUUUGAAUAACUUUUAAUGGCCAUGGGGUGUAGAUUGGCCUGAGCAAAUGUGGUGCCGGUGGAACAAAAGCCUUCGGAGGAGUUAGCGAAAUUCCAAUGUGUACGGAUCGCCAAAAAAUGCGAAAUAGCCCUUUAACCGUACAUUUGACAGAUACGCCGGCAUUGACUUUUUCGUAGAUCUUAUUGAGACACACCUGUGUGCCAAAUUUUGUGUCAUUUUGACAAAGUGUAGAGGCGUGACACUCAACAAUGUGUAUUUUCACCUUAGGGGACAAGAAAAAAUGGACUUUUUUCUCCUGCCAUGGGGGGGCGCUCUUUUGGGGAGUAAAAAUUCCUUCACAAAUGUGUUGAUGGCUGGACAUUGCAUCAUCCUAGAAAACUUGGAGGCCAGUGAGGACAAAAAUAAAAAGUUAUAAGACUUUUAAAUAUGUGGAUUUUUGGGUUAUCUUUGGCGCCCCCUAGAACCUAAACCGUGGGGUGCAGCGUCAUGAUUUGAAUAACUUUUAAUGGCCAUGGGGUGUAGAUUGGCCUGAGCAAAUGUGGUGCCGGUGGAACAAAAGCCUUCGGAGGAGUUAGCGAAAUUCCAAUGUGUACGGAUCGCCAAAAAAUGCGAAAUAGCCCUUUAACCGUACAUUUGACAGAUACGCCCGCAUUGACUUUUUCGUAGAUCUUAUUGAGACACACCUGUGUGCCAAAUUUUGUGUCAUUUUGACAAAGUGUAGAGGCGUGACACUCAACAAUGUGUAUUUUCACCUUAGGGGACAAGUAAAAAUGGACUUUUUUCUCCUGCCAUGGGGGGGCGCUCUUUUGGGGAGAAAAAAUUCCUUCACAAAUGUGUUGAUGGCUGGACAUUGCAUCAUCCUAGAAAACUUGGAGGCCAGUGAGGACAAAAAUAAAAAGUUAUAAGACUUUGAAAUAUGUGGAUUUUCGGGUUAUCUUUGGCGCCCCCUAGAACCUAAACCGUGGGGUGCAGCGUCAUGAUUUGAAUAACUUUUAAUGGCCAUGGGGUGUAGAUUGGCCUGAGCAAAUGUGGUGCCGGUGGAACAAAAGCCUUCGGAGGAGUUAGCGAAAUUCCAAUGUGUACGGAUCGCCAAAAAAUGCGAAAUAGCCCUUUAACCGUACAUUUGACAGAUACGCCGGCAUUGACUUUUUCGUAGAUCUUAUUGAGACACACCUGUGUGCCAAAUUUUGUGUCAUUUUGACAAAGUGUAGAGGCGUGACACUCAACAAUGUGUAUUUUCACCUUAGGGGACAAGAAAAAAUGGACUUUUUUCUCCUGCCAUGGGGGGGCGCUCUUUUGGGGAGUAAAAAUUCCUUCACAAAUGUGUUGAUGGCUGGACAUUGCAACAUCCUAGAAAACUUGGAGGCCAGUGAGGACAAAAAUAAAAAGUUAUAAGACUUUGAAAUAUGUGGAUUUUAGGGUUAUCUUUGGCGCCCCCUAGAACCUAAACCGUGGGGUGCAGCGUCAUGAUUUGAAUAACUUUUAAUGGCCAUGGGGUGUAGAUUGGCCUGAGCAAAUGUGGUGCCGGUGGAACAAAAGCCUUCGGAGGAGUAAGCGAAAUUCCAAUGUGUACGGAUCGCCAAAAAAUGCGAAAUAGCCCUUUAACCGUACAUUUGACAGAUACGCCCGCACUGACUUUUUUGUAGAUCUUAUUGAGAUACAUGUGUGUGUCAAAUUUUGUGUCAAUAUGACAAAGCGUACAGGCGUGACACUCAACAAUGUGUAUUUUCACCUUAGGGGACAGGAAAAAAUGGACUUUUUUCUCCUGCCAUGGGGGGGCGCUCUUUUGGGGAUUAAAAAUUCCUUCACAAAUGUGUUGAUGGCUGGACAUUGCAUCAUCCUAGAAAACUUGGAGGCCAGUGAGGGCAAAAAUAAAAAGUUAUAAGACUUUUAAAUAUGUGGAUUUUAGGGUUAUCUUUGGCGCCCCCUAGAACCUAAACCGUGGGGUGCAGCAUCAUGAUUUGAAUAACUUUUAAUGGCCAUGGGGUGUAGAUUGGCCUGAGCAAAUGUGGUGCCGGUGGAACGAAAGCCUUCGGAGGAGUUAGCGAAAUUCCAAUGUGUGCGGAUCGGCAAAAAAUGCGGAAUAACCCU
Xyrichtys novacula (pearly razorfish) is the source of this 8980-nucleotide non-coding RNA. NCBI's taxonomy places the organism in Eukaryota, Metazoa, Chordata, Actinopteri, Labriformes, Labridae. The record is from the annotation of a GenBank genome assembly.